UACGAAGGGUGCAAACGUUGCUCGGAAUUAUUGGGCGUAAAGCGCACGCAGGCGGUUUUAGUCAGUCUCUACUGGACAGUGUCCGGCUCAACCGGGCAAGUGGUAGGGAAACUGCUAAACUUGAGGGCUUCAGAGGGAUUGGGGAACUCCAGGUGGAGUGGUGAAAUUCGUAGAUAUCGGAGGAACAACCAGUGGCGAAGGCGGAUCUCUGGCCUUACCGUGACGCUCAGGCGCGAAAGCUGAAGGG
RNAcentral lists this ribosomal RNA (247 nucleotides) under uncultured bacterium. RNAcentral's name for it is "partial 16S ribosomal RNA". It matches the Rfam family "Bacterial small subunit ribosomal RNA", at positions 524 to 767 of the family's 1533-position model. The record is from RNAcentral.